CCUACGGGAGGCAGCAGUGAGGAAUAUUGGUCAAUGGCCGGAAGGCUGAACCAGCCAAGCCGCGUGAAGGACGAAGGUGCCACGCAUUGUAAACUUCUUUUGUCAAGGGACAAAAUCAGGCUCGAGAGCCUGACCGAGGGUACUUGAAGAAAAAGCAUCGGCUAACUCCGUGCCAGCAGCCGCGGUAAUACGGAGGAUGCGAGCGUUAUCCGGAUUUAUUGGGUUUAAGGGGUGCGUAGGCGGACUGUUAAGUCAGCGGUAAAAGCCCGGGGCUCAACCCCGGCGAGCCGUUGAAACUGGCUGUCUGGAGAGGGCGAGAGGUAUGCGGAAUGCGCAGUGUAGCGGUGAAAUGCUUAGAUAUGGCGCAGAACUCCGAUUGCGAAGGCAGCAUACCGGCGGCGAUCUGACGCUGAGGCACGAAAGCGUGGGUAUCGAACAGGAUUAGAUACCCCUGUAGUC
RNAcentral lists this ribosomal RNA (459 nucleotides) under uncultured bacterium. RNAcentral describes it as "partial 16S ribosomal RNA". It matches the Rfam family "Bacterial small subunit ribosomal RNA", at positions 338 to 795 of the family's 1533-position model. The record is from RNAcentral.